AGUGAACGCUGGCGGUAGGCCUAACACAUGCAAGUCGAACGGCAGCACAGUAAGAGCUUGCUCUUACGGGUGGCGAGUGGCGGACGGGUGAGGAAUACAUCGGAAUCUACUUUUUCGUGGGGGAUAACGUAGGGAAACUUACGCUAAUACCGCAUACGACCUACGGGUGAAAGCAGGGGAUCUUCGGACCUUGCGCGAUUGAAUGAGCCGAUGUCGGAUUAGCUAGUUGGCGGGGUAAAGGCCCACCAAGGCGACGAUCCGUAGCUGGUCUGAGAGGAUGAUCAGCCACACUGGAACUGAGACACGGUCCAGACUCCUACGGGAGGCAGCAGUGGGGAAUAUUGGACAAUGGGCGCAAGCCUGAUCCGGCCAUACCGCGUGGGUGAAGAAGGCCUUCGGGUUGUAAAGCCCUUUUGUUGGGAAAGAAAAGCAGCAGGUUAAUACCCCGCUGUUCUGACGGUACCCAAAGAAUAGGCACCGGCUAACUUCGUG
RNAcentral lists this ribosomal RNA (492 nucleotides) under uncultured bacterium. Its description in RNAcentral is "partial 16S ribosomal RNA". It matches the Rfam family "Bacterial small subunit ribosomal RNA", at positions 29 to 507 of the family's 1533-position model. The record is from RNAcentral.